AUUCCUUGUCGGGUAAGUUCCGACCUGCACGAAUGGCGUAACGACUUCCCCGCUGUCUCCAACAUCGACUCAGCGAAAUUGAAUUGCCUGUCAAGAUGCAGGCUUCCCGCGGUUAGACGGAAAGACCCCGUGCACCUUUACUACAGCUUCGCACUGGCAUCAGGAUUGUGAUGUGCAGGAUAGGUGGUAGGCUUUGAAGCAGGAACGCCAGUUUCUGUGGAGCCUCCCUUGAGAUACCACCCUUCGCACUCUUGAUGUCUAACCGCGGUCCGUUAUCCGGAUCCGGGACCCUGUGUGGCGGGUAGUUUGACUGGGGCGGUCGCCUCCUAAAGCGUAACGGAGGCGCGCGAAGGUUGGCUCAGAGCGGUCGGAAAUCGCUCGUUGAGUGCAAUGGCAGAAGCCAGCCUGACUGCAAGACUGACAAGUCGAGCAGAG
RNAcentral lists this ribosomal RNA (435 nucleotides) under uncultured Amoebophrya. RNAcentral describes it as "partial Bacterial large subunit ribosomal RNA". It matches the Rfam family "Bacterial large subunit ribosomal RNA", at positions 1964 to 2398 of the family's 2925-position model. Lineage: Eukaryota; Dinophyceae; Syndiniales. The record is from RNAcentral.